UGGGGAAUAUUGCACAAUGGGCGCAAGCCUGAUGCAGCCAUGCCGCGUGUGUGAAGAAGGCCUUCGGGUUGUAAAGCACUUUCAGCGGGGAGGAAGGCGUUAAGGUUAAUAACCUUGGCGAUUGACGUUACCCGCAGAAGAAGCACCGGCUAACUCCGUGCCAGCAGCCGCGGUAAUACGGAGGGUGCAAGCGUUAAUCGGAAUUACUGGGCGUAAAGCGCACGCAGGCGGUCUGUCAAGUCGGAUGUGAAAUCCCCGGGCUCAACCUGGGAACUGCAUUCGAAACUGGCAGGCUAGAGUCUUGUAGAGGGGGGUAGAAUUCCAGGUGUAGCGGUGAAAUGCGUAGAGAUCUGGAGGAAUACCGGUGGCGAAGGCGGCCCCCUGGACAAAGACUGACGCUCAGGGGCGAAAGCGUGGGGAGCAAACAGG
Molecule: ribosomal RNA, 429 nt
Filed under: Chloroflexota bacterium
Lineage: Bacteria; Bacillati; Chloroflexota
Description: Chloroflexi bacterium partial 16S ribosomal RNA
Rfam family: Bacterial small subunit ribosomal RNA
Source: RNAcentral